Molecule: long non-coding RNA, 156 nt
Organism: Telopea speciosissima
Lineage: Eukaryota; Viridiplantae; Streptophyta; Magnoliopsida; Proteales; Proteaceae
Exons: 3
Source: RefSeq, a predicted model, not a curated record
UGUCUCAUCUAGUGCUUAUCCUCCGCUCCAACAGUUCUUGCCACCAAAUUCUUCUGUGGCACGCCGGUACCAGGCCAAGUCAUGCAACAGCAUAGCAUAGAAUUCCAGUACCUUUCAUUUAGUCUUAGGUCACCUCUUGCGCUUAUAGGACUUCCA